This 253-nucleotide ribosomal RNA is filed under the name uncultured bacterium. RNAcentral describes it as "partial 16S ribosomal RNA". It matches the Rfam family "Bacterial small subunit ribosomal RNA", at positions 524 to 776 of the family's 1533-position model. The record is from RNAcentral.
UACGUAGGGGGCAAGCGUUGUCCGGAAUCAUUGGGCGUAAAGAGCGUGUAGGCGGUUCGGUAAGUCGGCUGUGAAAGUCGGGGGCUCAACCCUCGGAUGCCGGUGGAUACUGUCGGGCUUGAGUACGGAAGAGGCGAGUGGAAUUCCUGGUGUAGCGGUGAAAUGCGCAGAUAUCAGGAGGAACACCAAUUGCGAAGGCAGCUCGCUGGGACGUUACUGACGCUGAGACGCGAAAGCGUGGGGAGCAAACAGG